Molecule: transfer RNA, 73 nt
Filed under: Onthophagus taurus
Lineage: Eukaryota; Metazoa; Arthropoda; Insecta; Coleoptera; Scarabaeidae
Description: transfer RNA valine (anticodon UAC)
Rfam family: tRNA
About the family: Transfer RNA (tRNA) molecules are approximately 80 nucleotides in length. Their secondary structure includes four short double-helical elements and three loops (D, anti-codon, and T loops).
Source: RNAcentral
GGUUCCGUGGUGUAGUGGCUAUCACGUCUGCUUUACACGCAGAAGGUCUCCGGUUCGAGCCCGGACGGAACCA